CCUUUGGACAGAAGACUCUACCCUUAGGAUAGAAGACAGCUUCCAUGAUGUGUUUCUUUAGAAGCAUCUUCCACCCCAUGCUUUUCCUCAGACCCUCUGGUAUAGAUUUGGGACUCUUUUCUGUUGGCUGGGACACUGACAGUGCAGUGCCACAUGGUCCAGACCCCCAUGACAGGAAACGCAGGUUCCUUGACUCUAGUCCUAAGCUGCUCUCGCAACUCUUCCCGCUCACUAGUCAUUGGAAACGUUACGAAGGAAGGUUUCUGAGAAGUUGUGCCGCCCUGAAGUGUGUUCUUGAGAGUCAGGGGCUGAAGCCCUGUCAGUCAGAUAUC
Long non-coding RNA from Lynx canadensis (Canada lynx), 332 nucleotides. RefSeq lists it as uncharacterized. Lineage: Eukaryota; Metazoa; Chordata; Mammalia; Carnivora; Felidae. The transcript is spliced from 3 exons. The record is from RefSeq and is a predicted model, not a curated record.